CGUGUAGGCGGCGGCGCAAGUGUCGAGUGAAAUCCCAUCGCUCAACGAUGGAACGGCUCGGCAAACUGCGUCGCUUGAGGUCGGUAGAGGUGCUCGGAACUCUAGGUGGAGCGGUGAAAUGCGUAGAUAUCUAGAGGAACGCCUGAGGCGAAAGCGGGGCACUGGGCCGAUACUGACGCUGAGACGCGAAAGCGUGGGGAGCAAACA
RNAcentral lists this ribosomal RNA (207 nucleotides) under uncultured bacterium. RNAcentral's name for it is "partial 16S ribosomal RNA". It matches the Rfam family "Bacterial small subunit ribosomal RNA", at positions 568 to 774 of the family's 1533-position model. The record is from RNAcentral.